UCAGAUUGAACGCUGGCGGCAUGCCUUACACAUGCAAGUCGAACGGCAGCAUGAUCUAGCUUGCUAGAUUGAUGGCGAGUGGCGAACGGGUGAGUAAUACAUCGGAACGUGCCCUGUAGUGGGGGAUAACUAGUCGAAAGAUUAGCUAAUACCGCAUACGACCUGAGGGUGAAAGUGGGGGACCGCAAGGCCUCAUGCUAUAGGAGCGGCCGAUGUCUGAUUAGCUAGUUGGUGGGGUAAAGGCCCACCAAGGCGACGAUCAGUAGCUGGUCUGAGAGGACGAUCAGCCACACUGGGACUGAGACACGGCCCAGACUCCUACGGGAGGCAGCAGUGGGGAAUUUUGGACAAUGGGCGAAAGCCUGAUCCAGCAAUGCCGCGUGUGUGAAGAAGGCCUUCGGGUUGUAAAGCACUUUUGUCCGGAAAGAAAUGGCUCUGGUUAAUACCUGGGGUCGAUGACGGUACCGGAAGAAUAAGGACCGGCUAACUACGUGCCAGCAGCCGCGGUAAUACGUAGGGUCCAAGCGUUAAUCGGAAUUACUGGGCGUAAAGCGUGCGCAGGCGGUUGUGCAAGACCGAUGUGAAAUCCCCGAGCUUAACUUGGGAAUUGCAUUGGUGACUGCACGGCUAGAGUGUGUCAGAGGGGGGUAGAAUUCCACGUGUAGCAGUGAAAUGCGUAGAGAUGUGGAGGAAUACCGAUGGCGAAGGCAGCCCCCUGGGAUAACACUGACGC
Molecule: ribosomal RNA, 733 nt
Filed under: Ralstonia sp. SMCC B0676
Lineage: Bacteria; Pseudomonadati; Pseudomonadota; Betaproteobacteria; Burkholderiales; Burkholderiaceae
Description: bacterial SSU rRNA
Rfam family: Bacterial small subunit ribosomal RNA
Source: RNAcentral